UACAGAGGGUGCGAGCGUUGUCCGGAAUCACUGGGCGUAAAGGGCGCGUAGGUGGCGACCCAAGUCCAUGGUGAAAGCUCGAUGCUCAACAUCGAGUCGGCCACGGAUACUGGGUUGCUGGAGCACUGUAGAGGCAGAUGGAAUUCCGGGUGUAGCGGUGAAAUGCGCAGAUAUCAGGAGGAACACCGGUGGCGAAGGCGGGUCUCUGGGCCGAUACUGACGCUGAGGAGCGAAAGCGUGGGGAGCGAACAGG
This 253-nucleotide ribosomal RNA is filed under the name uncultured bacterium. RNAcentral's name for it is "partial 16S ribosomal RNA". It matches the Rfam family "Bacterial small subunit ribosomal RNA", at positions 524 to 776 of the family's 1533-position model. The record is from RNAcentral.